RNAcentral lists this long non-coding RNA (731 nucleotides) under Homo sapiens (human). RNAcentral describes it as "long non-coding RNA NONHSAT216658.1". Lineage: Eukaryota; Metazoa; Chordata; Mammalia; Primates; Hominidae. The record is from RNAcentral.
CCCAGCUGAGCGGCCGCCGAGCGGGUGCGGGUGCGGGCGCAUCGGCCAUCACCGCGCGGCCGCGCAGCGGACACCGUGCGUACCGGCCUGCGGCGCCCGGCCACCGGGGCGGACCGCGGAACCCGAGGCCAUGUCCCAUGAAAAGAGUUUUUUGGUGUCUGGGGACAACUAUCCUCCCCCCAACCCUGGAUAUCCGGGGGGGCCCCAGCCACCCAUGCCCCCCUAUGCUCAGCCUCCCUACCCUGGGGCCCCUUACCCACAGCCCCCUUUCCAGCCCUCCCCCUACGGUCAGCCAGGGUACCCCCAUGGCCCCAGCCCCUACCCCCAAGGGGGCUACCCACAGGGUCCCUACCCCCAAGGGGGCUACCCACAGGGCCCCUACCCACAAGAGGGCUACCCACAGGGCCCCUACCCCCAAGGGGGCUACCCCCAGGGGCCAUAUCCCCAGAGCCCCUUCCCCCCCAACCCCUAUGGACAGCCACAGGUCUUCCCAGGACAAGACCCUGACUCACCCCAGCAUGGAAACUACCAGGAGGAGGGUCCCCCAUCCUACUAUGACAACCAGGACUUCCCUGCCACCAACUGGGAUGACAAGAGCAUCCGACAGGCCUUCAUCCGCAAGGUGUUCCUAGUGCUGACCUUGCAGCUGUCGGUGACCCUGUCCACGGUGUCUGUGUUCACUUUUGUUGCGGAGGUGAAGGGCUUUGUCCGGGAGAAUGUCUGGACCUACU